GUGCCARRCCGCCGCGGUAAUACGUAGGGUGCAAGCGUUAAUCGGAAUUACUGGGCGUAAAGCGUGCGCAGGCGGUUUUGUAAGUCUGUCGUGAAAGCCCCGGGCUCAACCUGGGAAUUGCGAUGGAGACUGCAAGGCUUGAAUCUGGCAGAGGGGGGUAGAAUUCCACGUGUAGCAGUGAAAUGCGUAGAGAUGUGGAGGAACACCGAUGGCGAAGGCAGCCCCCUGGGUCAAGAUUGACGCUCAUGCACGAAAGCGUGGGGAGCAAACAGGAUUAGAUACCCUGGUAGUCCACGCCCUAAACGAUGUCUACUAGUUGUCGGGUUUUAAUUAACUUGGUAACGCAGCUAACGCGUGAAGUAGACCGCCUGGGGAGUACGGUCGCAAGAUUAAAAACUCAAAGGAAUUGACGG
This 413-nucleotide ribosomal RNA is filed under the name uncultured organism. RNAcentral describes it as "SSU rRNA". It matches the Rfam family "Bacterial small subunit ribosomal RNA", at positions 505 to 916 of the family's 1533-position model. The record is from RNAcentral.